Molecule: ribosomal RNA, 503 nt
Filed under: uncultured bacterium
Lineage: Bacteria
Description: bacterial SSU rRNA
Rfam family: Bacterial small subunit ribosomal RNA
Source: RNAcentral
AGUGAACGCUGGCGGCAGGCCUAAUACAUGCAAGUCGAACGGCAGCACAGUGGAGCUUGCUCCAUGGGUGGCGAGUGGCGGACGGGUGAGGAAUACAUGGGAAUCUGCCCAGUCGUGGGGGAUAACGUAUGGAAACGUACGCUAAUACCGCAUGCGCCCUUCGGGGGAAAGUCGGGGACCGCAAGGCCUGACGCGAUUGGAUGAGCCCAUGUUCGAUUAGCUAGUUGGCGGGUAACGGCCCACCAAGGCGACGAUCGAUAGCUGGUCUGAGAGGAUGAUCAGCCACACUGGAACUGAGACACGGUCCAGACUCCUACGGGAGGCAGCAGUAGGGAAUAUUGGACAAUGGGGGCAACCCUGAUCCAGCCAUGCCGCGUGAGUGAAGAAGGCCCUCGGGUUGUAAAGCUCUUUGUUGGGGAAGAAAAGCAGUUGGUUAAUACCCGAUUGUUCUGACGGUACCCAAAGAAUAAGCACCGGCUAACUCGUGCCAGCAGCCGCGGUAA